AAGGAUCAUUACUGAACUGUCAACAUGAGUUGUUGUUGGUCCCCACAUGGGGGCAUGUGCACGCUCUGUUUACACAUCCACUCACACCUGUGCACCCCUCCGUAGUUCUGUGGCCUGGGGGCUCUGUCCUCCUCUGCUGCAGUUCUACGUUUUUACACACACAAUGUAAUGAAGUCUCAUGGAAUGUAUGCCGCGUUUAACGCAAUAUAAUACAACUUUCAGCAACGGAUCUCUUGGCUCUC
This 242-nucleotide unclassified non-coding RNA is filed under the name uncultured fungus. RNAcentral describes it as "partial contains 18S rRNA, ITS1, 5.8S rRNA, ITS2 and 28S rRNA". The record is from RNAcentral. Lineage: Eukaryota; Fungi.